CACGAGCGCGAGGAGGUGCUGCGGAGACUGAAGAACGGUGGCUGAGGCGAAAACAGAGGUGGCAUGCAGUGCUGGAGACAGACAGAUCAUUGUAUCAUAGAAUGUUGGAAAAAUACCUAGCCUGGAGUCAAAGACAGAAGAGCACUAUUUAUUUUGGUGGAAAAUUUCAAACAGCUACGUGCCCCUCAGCGGGAGCUGACUGCUUACAGGCACUCUGGGACCUCUGCACAGCGGGAUGUUGU
Molecule: long non-coding RNA, 242 nt
Organism: Balaenoptera acutorostrata (minke whale)
Lineage: Eukaryota; Metazoa; Chordata; Mammalia; Artiodactyla; Balaenopteridae
Exons: 3
Source: RefSeq, a predicted model, not a curated record